GAGAGUUAAAUAGUACGUGAAAUUGUUGAAAGGGAAACGAUUGAAGUCAGUCAUGCUAGUGAGGAAUCAACCUGAUGGUGCUUGGGUUCUCCCUCGUACUUUCCGGUGCACUUUCUCACCCGGCAGGUUAGCAUCAAUUUCGGUUAUCAUAAAAAAUUUGAGAGAAUGUGGCUUUCCUUCGGGAAAGUGUUAUAGAUCUCGAUCUAUGUGGUGACCGGGAUUGAGGAUUGCAGCGGAUACCCUCGUGGCUCGUCACCUGGCUUCUGACGGUUACCCCGCUUUCGAUAGCUCGCUAACGUUAGUGGGACUCGAUUGUCUAGAUGUCAGAGUGAUUGAUUUUCGCUAAGGAUGCUGACGUAAUGGCUUUAAACGA
RNAcentral lists this ribosomal RNA (373 nucleotides) under uncultured Acaulospora. RNAcentral's name for it is "partial 28S ribosomal RNA". Lineage: Eukaryota; Fungi; Glomeromycota; Glomeromycetes; Diversisporales; Acaulosporaceae. The record is from RNAcentral.